This 600-nucleotide ribosomal RNA is filed under the name uncultured bacterium. Its description in RNAcentral is "bacterial SSU rRNA". It matches the Rfam family "Bacterial small subunit ribosomal RNA", at positions 772 to 1368 of the family's 1533-position model. The record is from RNAcentral.
ACCGGAUUAUAUACCCUGGUACUCCAUUCCGUAAACGAUGAGUGCUAAGUGUUAGAGGGUUUCCGCCCUUUAAUGCUGCAGCUAACGCAUUAAGCACUCCGCCUGGGGAGUACGGUCGCAAGACUGAAACUCAAAGGAAUUGACGGGGGCCCGCACAAGCGGUGGAGCAUGUGGUUUAAUUCGAAGCAACGCGAAGAACCUUACCAGGUCUUGACAUCCUCUGACAACUCUAGAGAUAGAGCGUUCCCCUUCGGGGGACAGAGUGACAGGUGGUGCAUGGUUGUCGUCAGCUCGUGUCGUGAGAUGUUGGGUUAAGUCCCGCAACGAGCGCAACCCUUGAUCUUAGUUGCCAGCAUUUAGUUGGGCACUCUAAGGUGACUGCCGGUGACAAACCGGAGGAAGGUGGGGAUGACGUCAAAUCAUCAUGCCCCUUAUGACCUGCGCUACACACGUGCUACAAUGGAUGGUACAAAGGGCUGCAAGACCGCGAGGUCAAGCCAAUCCCAUAAAACCAUUCUCAAUUCGGAUUGUAGGCUGCAACUCGCCUAAAUGAAGCUGGAAUCGCUAGUAAUCGCCGGAUCAGCAUGCCGCCGGUGAAUA